RNAcentral lists this ribosomal RNA (469 nucleotides) under uncultured bacterium. RNAcentral's name for it is "bacterial SSU rRNA". It matches the Rfam family "Bacterial small subunit ribosomal RNA", at positions 337 to 797 of the family's 1533-position model. The record is from RNAcentral.
GCCUACGGGACGCAGCAGUGGGGAAUCUUGCGCAAUGGGCGAAAGCCUGACGCAGCAACGCCGCGUGUGUGAUGAAGGUCUUCGGAUCGUAAAGCACUGUCGGGAGGGACGAAUAAGGCGGCGGCUAACAUCCGCAGCCGAUGACGGUACCUCCAAAGGAAGCACCGGCUAACUCUGUGCCAGCAGCCGCGGUAAUACAGAGGGUGCUAGCGUUGUUCGGAAUUAUUGGGCGUAAAGCGCGUGUAGGCGGCCUUGCAAGUUGGGUGUGAAAGCCCUCGGCUUAACCGAGGAAGUGCGCCCAAAACUACAAGGCUUGAGUGCCGGAGAGGGUGGCGGAAUUCCCGGUGUAGAGGUGAAAUUCGUAGAUAUCGGGAGGAACACCAGCGGCGAAGGCGGCCACCUGGACGGUAACUGACGCUGAGACGCGAAAGCGUGGGUAGCAAACAGGAUUAGAUACCCGGGUAGUCCC